This 790-nucleotide ribosomal RNA is filed under the name uncultured bacterium. RNAcentral's name for it is "bacterial SSU rRNA". It matches the Rfam family "Bacterial small subunit ribosomal RNA", at positions 77 to 850 of the family's 1533-position model. The record is from RNAcentral.
AGCUUGCUCCUUUAGGUUAGCGGCGGACGGGUGAGUAACACGUGGGCAACCUGCCCUGCAGACUGGGAUAACUUCGGGAAACCGGAGCUAAUACCGGAUAACACCGAAAACCGCAUGGUUUUCGGUUGAAAGGCGGCAUUAGCUGUCACUGCAGGAUGGGCCCGCGGCGCAUUAGCUAGUUGGUGAGGUAACGGCUCACCAAGGCGACGAUGCGUAGCCGACCUGAGAGGGUGACCGGCCACACUGGGACUGAGACACGGCCCAGACUCCUACGGGAGGCAGCAGUAGGGAAUCUUCCGCAAUGGACGAAAGUCUGACGGAGCAACGCCGCGUGAGCGAAGAAGGUCUUCGGAUCGUAAAGCUCUGUUGUCAGGGAAGAACAAGUGCCGUUCGAACAGGGCGGUACCUUGACGGUACCUGACGAGGAAGCCACGGCUAACUACGUGCCAGCAGCCGCGGUAAUACGUAGGUGGCAAGCGUUGUCCGGAAUUAUUGGGCGUAAAGCGCGCGCAGGCGGUUCCUUAAGUCUGAUGUGAAAUCUCGCGGCUCAACCGCGAGCGGCCAUUGGAAACUGGGGAACUUGAGUGCAGGAGAGGGGAGCGGAAUUCCACGUGUAGCGGUGAAAUGCGUAGAGAUGUGGAGGAACACCAGUGGCGAAGGCGGCUCUCUGGCCUGUAACUGACGCUGAGGCGCGAAAGCGUGGGGAGCGAACAGGAUUAGAUACCCUGGUAGUCCACGCCGUAAACGAUGAGUGCUAAGUGUUAGAGGGUAUCCACCCUUUAGUGCUGCA